This 619-nucleotide ribosomal RNA is filed under the name uncultured bacterium. RNAcentral's name for it is "bacterial SSU rRNA". It matches the Rfam family "Bacterial small subunit ribosomal RNA", at positions 116 to 716 of the family's 1533-position model. The record is from RNAcentral.
CGUAGGUAAUCUACCUCUGGGUGGGGAAUAACGACCGGAAACGGUCGCUAAUACCGCAUAAUGCAGCGGCACCACAUGGUGACAGUUGUUAAAGCGGGGGAUCGCAAGACCUCGCGCCUAGAGAGGAGCCUGCGGCGGAUUAGCUAGUUGGUAGGGUAAUGGCCUACCAAGGCGACGAUCCGUAGCCGGCCUGAGAGGGCGGUCGGCCACACUGGCACUGACAUACGGGCCAGACUCCUACGGGAGGCAGCAGUCGGGAAUUUUGGGCAAUGGGCGAAAGCCUGACCCAGCAACGCCGCGUGAAGGAUGAAGCUUUUCGGAGUGUAAACUUCAUAAGAAUGGGACGAAUAAGGAAGGGUUAACACCCCUUUUGAUGACGGUACCAUUUGUAAGCUCCGGCUAACUCCGUGCCAGCAGCCGCGGUAAUACGGGGGGAGCAAGCGUUGUUCGGAUUUACUGGGCGUAAAGGGCGCGUAGGCGGCGCAACAAGUCACUUGUGAAAUCUCCGGGCUUAACCCGGAGCGGCCAAGUGAUACUGUCGUGCUAGAGUGCGGAAGGGGCUACUGGAAUUCUCGGUGUAGCGGUGAAAUGCGUAGAUAUCGAGAGGAACACCUGCGGC